AUGAGGAUGUGGACGACUCUGUGUGUGGCAAUGCUCUUCUUCAGAACAAGAGCUGAAAUCACCCAAACCCCAGGUCUUGUGGUGCGAGAAGAUGAGAAUGUUACUCUAAAAUGCAGUCAAAAUGAUAAUCACAAUUCUAUGUACUGGUAUCUGCAGCAGCCAGGGAAGGCGAUGCAAUUGAUUUAUUAUUCCUUUGGUGUCAAUCAAAAGCAAGUGGGUGACAUUCCAGCUGGAUUCCAAGUUAACCGGCCAAAUCUUGCAGAUUUCUAUUUGGAUAUUUUGCCUGUGAAGUUGAACAACUCAGCCAUCUAUUUCUGUGCCAGUAGUUUGGACACAACACUUCAAAGUCACUUGCUUUCUUUACAUAAACCUCUCCCCUUUCAGCACGUUCCCUCCGAAGGCAGCUGCUCUCAGCACAGGAAAAGGGUGUGUAGGGCAAUCACUUACUGA
Cinclus cinclus is the source of this 450-nucleotide non-coding RNA. NCBI's taxonomy places the organism in Eukaryota, Metazoa, Chordata, Aves, Passeriformes, Cinclidae. The record is from the annotation of a RefSeq genome assembly.